RNAcentral lists this ribosomal RNA (2178 nucleotides) under Triticum aestivum (bread wheat). RNAcentral describes it as "partial small subunit ribosomal RNA". Lineage: Eukaryota; Viridiplantae; Streptophyta; Magnoliopsida; Poales; Poaceae. The record is from RNAcentral.
AUGUUAACUAUCUCCCAUACCUCUCAUGAGUUUAUGGAAGACUUGAAGGAGGCAGAUUUGUGUGCUGCACUUGUUGUGAAGGGAGAAGAGCACCUGACUGUUGAAAUUCCAGCAAAGGUACGUGGUUUAUUGGCAGAAUUUCAGAACAUACUUGGGGAGCCACAUGGCUUGCCACCGAUGAGAGGAAUUCAACAUAGAAUUGACUUAAUUCCGGGAGCAAGUCUUCCUAAUCUUCCACACUAUCGAAUGAGCCCAAAGGAGCAUGAUAUAUUGAAGGAGAAAGUGGAGGAAUUGUUGCAAAAGGGGCACAUUCGAGAAAGUAUUAGCCCAUGUGCUGUACCAGCCCUACUCGCGCCAAAGAAAGAUGGAUCUUGGCGCAUGUGUACGGACAGUAGAGCCGUUAACAAGAUCACCGUAAGGUAUAGAUUCCCUAUUCCCCGUCUGGAUGAUAUGUUGGAUCAGCUUAGUGGAGCAAGAGUGUUCACAAAGCUAGAUUUAAGAAGUGGAUAUCAUCAAAUCCGUAUAAGACCCGGGGAUGAAUGGAAGACCGCCUUCAAGACAAAGGAAGGGUUGUUUGAAUGGCUAGUCAUGCCAUUUGGACUCUCAAAUGCACCAAGUACCUUUAUGCACUUAAUGAAUCAAGUCCUUAGACCCUUCUUAUCCCACUUUGUUGUGGUCUAUUUCGAUGACAUCUUGAUCUAUAGCAAGGAUGAGGAUGAACACUUUGAUCACAUUCGGAAGGUGCUAGAAGUACUAAGGAAAAAUGAGCUCUACGUCAACUUGAAGAAAUGUGUUUUCCUGCAAACACAACUUCUUUUCCUAGGAUUCGUCAUAACAUGUGACAGCAUUCGUGUUGAUGAUUCUAAGGUUGAAGCAAUCCGAGAAUGGCCAACUCUUAAGACCGUUUCUGAGGUAAGAAGCUUUCAUGGCCUUGCAACUUUCUAUAGGCGAUUUGUUAAGAAUUUCAGCACUAUCAUGGCACCAAUUACCAAGUGUUUGAAGAAAGGAAAGUUCCAAUGGGCAGAAGCAGCUGAAGCUAGCUUCAAUGAGAUUAAACAAAAGCUAUCACAAGCUCCUGUCUUGGUACUACCUGAUUUCAACAAGACUUUUGAGUUGGAGUGUGAUGCAAGUGGAGUAGGCAUUGGAGCUGUCCUAUCUCAAGAAAGGAAGCCCAUUGCUUUCUUUAGUGAGAAGUUAAGUGAAGCUAGACAGAAAUGGAGUACCUAUCAGCAAGAAUUAUACGCCGUUUUCAGAGCGUUGAAAACUUGGGAAGUCUAUUUGCUGCCUAAAGAGUUCAUUGUUUAUAGCGACCAUCAAUCCUUGAAGCAUUUUAGAAAUCAAAGGCAUGUUGACCGCAUGCUAGCAAGAUGGGCAGCAUAUCUGGAGAGAUUUAACUAUCUCAUCAUGCAUAAAUCUGGAAUAACUAACAGAGUGGCCGAUGCUUUGAGUCGUCGUGCAUGCCUCUUGACUUCUUUUGAAGCUGAACUUCCGGGCAUGGAUCAAAUAAAGGAGUUGUAUGAGGGUGACGAAGACUUUGGCCAUGUUUGGGUAAAGCACGCAAGGGGCCAACCAUUAGGUGAUGACUAUUUGAUGCAAGAUGGAUAUCUCUUCAAAAAUGAUCGUUUGUGCAUUCCAAGAAGUUCUUUACGUGACAUGCUAGUUAGAGAGCUCCAUUCAAGUGAUCUUAGUGGCCAUGUUGGACGGGACAAGACUACCGCUAACCUGGAAGCUCGCUACUUUUGGCCACAACUAAAAAGAGAUGCUGGAAAGUUCGUUCAACGGUGCCCCGUAUGUCAGACCUGCAAAGGCCAAGUCCAGAACACAGGGUUAUACAUGCCUUUGCCUGUUCCUGUCGCUCCAUGGGAGAACACUUCUAUGGACUUCGUCUUGGGCUUGCCAAGAACAAGACGAGGAAGUGAUGCUGUAUUUGUGGUCGUGGAUAGAUUCUCUAAGAUGGCUCAUUUCAUCCCAUGCCGCAAAACAACGGAUGCUCAUCAUGUGGCAAACCUAUUCUUUCGAGAAGUGGUCAGACUUCAUGGAGUACCAAGGUCCAUCGUCUCAGACCGUGAUAGCAAGUUUCUUGCUGCAUUUUGGCUCACUUUGUGGAAGCAAUUCAACACUGAAUUGAAAUUUUCUAGCACUGCUCAUCCACAAACAGAUGGACAAACGGAAGUGUGA